UCUGCGGAUUUAUUGUGUAAAUUUAGUUACAUUUUUGAACAUUAAUGUUUCAUAUUAUAUAAUUGUCAAUGAAAAAGAUAAACAUUUUUGAUUCUCAGAGAUUAAGAGUUCUU
Molecule: long non-coding RNA, 113 nt
Organism: Haliotis rubra (blacklip abalone)
Lineage: Eukaryota; Metazoa; Mollusca; Gastropoda; Lepetellida; Haliotidae
Exons: 4
Source: RefSeq, a predicted model, not a curated record